This 257-nucleotide ribosomal RNA is filed under the name uncultured bacterium. RNAcentral describes it as "partial 16S ribosomal RNA". It matches the Rfam family "Bacterial small subunit ribosomal RNA", at positions 76 to 334 of the family's 1533-position model. The record is from RNAcentral.
CUUGCUAAGGCCGAUGGCGACCGGCGCACGGGUGAGUAACACGUAUCCAACCUGCCGAUAACUCGGGGAUAGCCUUUCGAAAGAAAGAUUAAUAUCCGAUGGUAUAUUAAAACCGCAUGGUUUUACUAUUAAAGAAUUCGGUUAUCGAUGGGGAUGCGUUCCAUUAGUUUGUUGGCGGGGUAACGGCCCACCAAGACUACGAUGGAUAGGGGUUCUGAGAGGAAGGUCCCCCACAUUGGAACUGAGACACGGUCCAA